This is a non-coding RNA of Podarcis lilfordi (Lilford's wall lizard), 118 nucleotides long. The record is from the annotation of a GenBank genome assembly. NCBI's taxonomy places the organism in Eukaryota, Metazoa, Chordata, Lepidosauria, Squamata, Lacertidae.
CUUCCAGUAGCACGUUAGAGACCAACUAAGUUUGCUAUUGGUAUGAGCUUUCGUGUGCAUGUACACGAAAGCUCAUACCAAUAACAAACUUAGUUGGUCUCUAACGUGCUACUGGAAG